Molecule: non-coding RNA, 215 nt
Filed under: Anoxybacteroides amylolyticum
Lineage: Bacteria; Bacillati; Bacillota; Bacilli; Caryophanales; Anoxybacillaceae
Description: Anoxybacillus amylolyticus T-box sequence
Rfam family: T-box leader
About the family: Uncharged tRNA acts as the effector for transcription antitermination of genes in the T-box leader family. T-boxes are found upstream of many aminoacyl-tRNA synthetase genes and some amino acid biosynthetic genes usually in Gram-positive bacteria.
Source: RNAcentral
CAAAUGACCGUGAAAAGGAGUAGUAGUGAACAAAACGGGCUGCAGAGAGUUGACGGCUGGUGCGAGUCAACCGAAGUUUGUUUACGAACUCGCCUUGGAGUUGCGUGUGCGAAUGAGGUAGCAUGCGCCGUGAAUCUGCGUUAAUGAGUCGAGUGAGCGUUUUUUGUGCGCUAAUGAGGGUGGUACCGCGGGAAAUUCGACCUCUCGUCCCUUUU